Molecule: RNA transcript, 740 nt
Organism: Schistocerca cancellata (South American locust)
Lineage: Eukaryota; Metazoa; Arthropoda; Insecta; Orthoptera; Acrididae
Exons: 4
Source: RefSeq, a predicted model, not a curated record
GUGUGUGUGUGUGUGUGUGUGUGUGUGUGUGUGUGUCUCAUCUUUCUGGCCGAAAGUUUAUUUGCGAUAGACUUUUUGUUGUGGCCAUCUGUUACUCAGCAUCUCUGCUAUAUGAUUAAAACUGCAUGCCUGACAGAAGAUCAAAGCCCGUUCUACAGAGAAUGCACUAAUCAACUAAACUAUUUUGGCAUGACUAAUGAGACAGCUUCAUUACCGAAUACGUUGCAAACUGAAAUCUGAUCUGAAGUUGUAGCUGUAUAACUCAGUUGGUAAAAGUUUUACCAGAGAAAGAGACGGUGGGGGUUGGGGGACAACAAGUUACAGCUGUACACCCAGUUCCAAACUACCACUGGAACAUGCACUACGGGGCCAGGCUGGAACAGCCUAACGAAGAAGUUUGAAGAACUAAAUUGUGAAAGUGAAGUACACGAUUUUUGUGAUGAAAGUGAUUCUGAAGCUGAUACUCCUACAGCAGUUGUGGAUAAUUGUAAAACUGAUCUGUCUACAGAAACUUCAGACAGCGAUGAAGAAAAUACAAUUGUCCAUGGCAAGAAUGGUGAUUGUUGUUACACAGCUGUCCCUAAUAGUUCCAAGUCUGCCAGCUGCUGAUAACUUGUAGCCCAUAUUCCAAGAGUGUGGAAACAAUAAACGAACGGAUUUAUGAAUAACUGAGAACACUUCAAAAUAUUCAUGUAAUAUGUGCAUUUCAUUAAAUGACUAGUAUCUUCAGCUAAUUAAAC